GGCACGUUAGCUCAGUUGGUUAGAGCGUCGUGCUAAUAACGCGAAGGUCGUGGGUUCGAUCCCCCCACGGGCCA
This 74-nucleotide transfer RNA is filed under the name Schistocerca americana (American grasshopper). RNAcentral describes it as "tRNA-Ile". It matches the Rfam family "tRNA". From Rfam's summary of the family: Transfer RNA (tRNA) molecules are approximately 80 nucleotides in length. Their secondary structure includes four short double-helical elements and three loops (D, anti-codon, and T loops). Lineage: Eukaryota; Metazoa; Arthropoda; Insecta; Orthoptera; Acrididae. The record is from RNAcentral.